RNAcentral lists this non-coding RNA (26 nucleotides) under Homo sapiens (human). The record is from RNAcentral. Lineage: Eukaryota; Metazoa; Chordata; Mammalia; Primates; Hominidae.
UUGAGGACCUUAGCCGACAGUGGAGG